GCUCUUGUAGCUCAGUUGGUUAGAGCACCCGUUUAGUAAGCGGGAGGUCUUGAGUUCAACUUUGAACAAGAGCA
This 74-nucleotide transfer RNA is filed under the name Ipomoea nil (Japanese morning glory). It matches the Rfam family "tRNA". From Rfam's summary of the family: Transfer RNA (tRNA) molecules are approximately 80 nucleotides in length. Their secondary structure includes four short double-helical elements and three loops (D, anti-codon, and T loops). Lineage: Eukaryota; Viridiplantae; Streptophyta; Magnoliopsida; Solanales; Convolvulaceae. The record is from Rfam by way of RNAcentral.